RNAcentral lists this ribosomal RNA (266 nucleotides) under uncultured bacterium. RNAcentral's name for it is "partial 16S ribosomal RNA". It matches the Rfam family "Bacterial small subunit ribosomal RNA", at positions 88 to 354 of the family's 1533-position model. The record is from RNAcentral.
UGGGUUAGUGGCGGACGGGUGAGUAACGCGUGGAUAACCUGCCGUAUACAGGGGGAUAACACUUAGAAAUAGGUGCUAAUACCGCAUAAGCGCACGGUUCCGCAUGGAACAGUGUGAAAAACUCCGGUGGUAUACGAUGGAUCCGCGUCUGAUUAGCCAGUUGGCGGGGUAACGGCCCACCAAAGCGACGAUCAGUAGCCGGCCUGAGAGGGUGAACGGCCACAUUGGGACUGAGACACGGCCCAAACUCCUACGGGAGGCAGCAG